This 1772-nucleotide long non-coding RNA is filed under the name Marmota monax (woodchuck). The record is from RNAcentral. Lineage: Eukaryota; Metazoa; Chordata; Mammalia; Rodentia; Sciuridae.
GAAAAAAAAAAAAAAGAUCAUGUUUACAAGUGACAAAACAAGGUUCCACUUACCUUUAGAGAAAAUAAAAUUAAAAAGGCUUAAAAUCCAUUACAAGAAGUCAUAUAGAUAGUGAUAGGGCUUUCUUUGCAGUUGCUGGACCUAACCCCUUCAGCCCACAAAUAGGGGGAAAAAAAUCACUAUAUGUUUACUAAGUUCUGAGGAUCAUUAUCUCACACACAUACCACACUCCACAAAAUAGGCAAAAACUGGCCCUUUCUCUCAGGGCAAUCUACAUUUAAAUUUUAGAUCAAAUGUGUUGAGUGGAUUUGCUCAUUUCCAAUGUAAAUAGAGAAAAUUUCUAUGACAGAAUCAGGCUUUCUUAUCUUUAAACUAGGGCCAAAUAGCUCAUAAUUACCUUUGUCUCUUCUUUUAGGACAUUUGCAGAAAAUAUAAAAAAUAUUAACAUUCUCAUGUAGUAGAGUGUUUGGGUACUCAACUUUAGGGCAACCAUGGAUUUCUUAAGAUAGAUGCUAUGGAUGCAUUUCUGUGUAUAGUUUUAGGAGCUAUUCACCAGCCCUUCUUCUAAGGUAGUCUGUAGACCAAGCUGAUGACACCCUACACAUGCUAAAGCAUUCACCAAGUUUGGUUUUUAAAAAUAUUUUUUAGUUUCUAUUGGGUUUUUUACUUUAUUUAUUUAUGUGUGGUGCUAAGGAUUGAACCCAGGGCCCCCACAUGCCAGGCAAGCACUCUACCACUGAGCCACAACCCCAGUCCUACCAAAUAUGUUUUAAUAAGACAUGAUUAGGGAAGAGAUACCAUGGGGUAUGGUAGAAAGACCAGGAAAUUUAAUGACAGGUAGAGGUAAACAGGAGAAGUGGCUUAGCAACAACAACAACAAAAAAGAUAAUGGCAUAAGCCCUUGGAACCUGUCCCUUCACCAGUAACAGAAAAGUCAAAAUAGCCAUUUUUCCAGUAUUUUUCUACUAGAAAUAGUGUGCAGAGAAUACCACCUAAGAAUCAAUUCUUCAUAGAUAUCAGCCAUUCAGCCCAUAGUGUGGUGUGGUUCAUUGGCCUCAUGAUGACUUGUUUGGCCAGUGGCAUAGCCACUGUAAACUGCCAUCGCUAUAUGCCCCUCAGCAGCUGUCACUCUUGUGGCAGUUGUACUUCCCAUCCUGCAGAACAUCAGUGCCUAUGGGGACCUUGUUCUGGGGCUUGCACACAUUUGAGCUUUAAUACUGGAAGGAGGGAACUGAGCUCAUCCAAAAGUAUAGGUUCAUUGUAUCUUUGUGAUAGUAAAAGUCUCAACACCUUGGGUAAGCAACUUGCCAAGGGCACUUCCAUUCCCUCAUCUGGAAAUCAAGGGCCUUGGAGACUUUCAGAGGGGCUGUUUCAAGUGGGUCUCCCCAGGAGCAUAUGUCCAACAGGCACUCAGCAGAUGGUGACUCUGCUAUUAGAUGCUCUUUAUUACAUGAGAUGCUUAGCACCUGCCUGAGUACCUCUGCCCAUCCUGCUUUUACCAAACUUCAGCACAUGAAGGCUGAGGAUCAGGUCAAGUACCUUGCCCUGUUCUGCCUGAGGAAGGACAGCAACCCCAACUAGCCCUACACUCACUGUACAACUUGAAGAGCUGCUUCACAUCUGGCCCCAUGAGCAGGUGUUUGAGAAUCUCAUCCAGGCUUUUCAUGGCCUCUCUGUUGUUCCUGGGCCAGGACUUGGUGAUCACAGCAGAAACAAGGCUGCCAAAUUUCUACAAAUCAUGACAUGAGACUCCUUCAGAACACUGAUAUGAG